This is a regulatory RNA element of Corynebacterium efficiens YS-314, 130 nucleotides long. It matches the Rfam family "atpB RNA". The record is from Rfam. NCBI's taxonomy places the organism in Bacteria, Bacillati, Actinomycetota, Actinomycetes, Mycobacteriales, Corynebacteriaceae.
CUGUAACCGUUGCGCUGAUGUGCGACGGAGUCCGUAACGGUUGCAGUGAGUUUUUCAGACGUCCAUCGCACCGUGCACAAACCCACGCGUGCACGGCCCGAACACGGGAGAGAACGCUGAGCGUUACAAC